This 58-nucleotide ribosomal RNA is filed under the name Polygonum aviculare. RNAcentral describes it as "partial 5.8S ribosomal RNA". The record is from RNAcentral. Lineage: Eukaryota; Viridiplantae; Streptophyta; Magnoliopsida; Caryophyllales; Polygonaceae.
UUUUGCACGCAGUUGCGCCCGAAGCCCUCGUGGCCAGGGCACGUCUGUCUGGGCGUCA